Esox lucius (northern pike) is the source of this 142-nucleotide long non-coding RNA. RefSeq lists it as uncharacterized. Lineage: Eukaryota; Metazoa; Chordata; Actinopteri; Esociformes; Esocidae. The record is from RefSeq and is a predicted model, not a curated record. The transcript is spliced from 3 exons.
GGAGAGAUGAACAAGCAGGAGAGAAGCAUGUGGGCUGCUAAUGUUAUGCACCAGUUUAGGAAAUGGACUUACAGCAACGACUAUAUUUGCAGCAAUGUUCGCUCUGGCGUUACCGAGUGGUGGACUUUGCCGAGAUCUUCAG